CUGGCCUGUCUGGGAGGUGGCCUGGGAAGGGACCUGUGUUUCUCCAGCCCGCGCCCUCGGGGCCUGGGGGUGGGGCCCCAGCAGAUGUCUGGAUUUGGUAGCCAGGGCCUGGAGCCGGAUGCUGAGAAUGAGGCCUGCAACUCAUUUCCCCAUUUAACAUUCUGAGAACAUCUGCACCGGUUUCCAAGGCUUCUCCCUCACUAAUUGCUUUGAUUAUUGUGUGAAGUUAAGAACUGGCACAUUUCCGCGAUGUUGUGAUGAAGGUGAAAAGAUCGCUCUUAAUUAGAUUAAAAACAUUUUUUUCUUCCUGUGUAAUUUUGCCUUGAAAAUCAAGGCCACUUUUUUGUUUUCUUCAUCCAAAGACCUCCAGAAACUUUCCUCCCCACCUCUCCAGAGGUUUCUGGGGAAUGUCCUGUGAGCUCAACUCUUGGAGAAGAUAGUGCUUAACCCAGAUUCCAUUGUAU
This is an unclassified non-coding RNA of Aotus nancymaae (Ma's night monkey), 464 nucleotides long. Lineage: Eukaryota; Metazoa; Chordata; Mammalia; Primates; Aotidae. The record is from Ensembl.